This 189-nucleotide ribosomal RNA is filed under the name Sphingomonadales bacterium. Its description in RNAcentral is "partial 23S ribosomal RNA". It matches the Rfam family "Bacterial large subunit ribosomal RNA", at positions 2720 to 2925 of the family's 2925-position model. Lineage: Bacteria; Pseudomonadati; Pseudomonadota; Alphaproteobacteria; Sphingomonadales. The record is from RNAcentral.
GUCGUGGCGCCAGCCGCGCAGCAGGGUAGCUAUGCAUGGACGGGAUAACCGCUGAAAGCAUCUAAGCGGGAAGCCUCCCUCAAGAUAAGGUAUCUUCGAGUCGUGAUAGACCAUCACGUUGAUAGGCCGGGUGUAGAAGCGUGGUAACAUGUGGAGCUAACCGGUCCUAAUAACUCUGAUCAUGUUUGA